Molecule: long non-coding RNA, 1230 nt
Organism: Artibeus jamaicensis (Jamaican fruit-eating bat)
Lineage: Eukaryota; Metazoa; Chordata; Mammalia; Chiroptera; Phyllostomidae
Exons: 3
Source: RefSeq, a predicted model, not a curated record
CUUCAGCAAGAGGGGUUGGGGCACAUUUGCUUCUCUGCUUAUUCCACAGCCUGUAUCAUGGUCCUUUGCCUACUCCCAGAUGCACAGGAUGGCCAGACUCGUCCUGAGCCCCUUGGUGUGUGGUGCUGGAUGUGACAGCUCCCACGGAGAUGGUUUUCCAAAGCUGAGGCAUGAGAAACCAAGGAGCAUCCAUUAGAAUAUUCCUUCUCUCAAGUUUUCAUGGCAAUUGAGAGGGCUGAGAUUAGAGAUAAAGGAAAGACGACAUCCCUUACUUCUUCUGAAUUUCUUCCUCUUUCCUCAUGACUAUUCUGCUGAAAACCACCUCUUCAAUACAAAGUAACACCUUCAAACCUGUCACUGAGAAAUAAAAAGCACAAAUAAAAUCAUGAAGAAGAAAAAGAAGAGUGGAGGGUAUGUACUGUCGGCCAUUACAGCUCACACAAAGCUACAAUGAUGAAGAAAUGAGGUAUAGCACCAAAUCGGACAAUCGAUGAAUCAGAAGUGGAUCUAAACUGACAUUGUCUCUUGAUUGAGAACAAAGAGAGAGAAAAGAUGGUCUGUUUAAUAAAUGCUGCUGUAUCAUUUGGAUAGGCAUAUGCCAAAGAAGAAAUCCUAAUUCCUAUCCAACACCAUAAGCAAAAAUCAGUUUUAGAUGGAAAUGUAAAGUUAAAAGGUAAAAAUAUUGAGAAUUUCAGAAAAACAACAUAUGCUAUCACAAAUAGCAUGAAACAUAAAAAGAAAAAAUGACAAUUUGGACUAUAAUAACUAAUUUUGUUUACCAGAACACCACUUAAGAGUGAAACAAUGUCAUAGAGUCGGGAAAAAUAUUUGUGAUACAUAUAGUUGAUAAUUCAUACAAAGAAAACAAAAGACUCUUAUAAAUCAAUGAAAAAGGUAUAAAUGCAUUGGAUUUUGCCUAUUCAGAUUUAAAAGACUUGAAUAUCAUGCCACAAGGGACAAUAUCCAAAUGACAAAUAAACAUAGUAAGAUGCCUGAAUUUGUUUGUCAUCUGGGCAAUGCACAUAAAUCACAAUGAAAGUUCAUCUAGCUGAACAAUACAAAUACACUUUUAUUUUAAAAAAUUUAUUAUAUUGUCUCUAUUACCAUUUAGUCCCCUUAUAUCCUCUUCCCCCCAUAACUACCACGCUGUUUUCCAUGUCCAUGAGUCCUUUUUCCUUUUUGGCUCCAUCCCUCCAUCAGCUAACCUCCUCCCUCUAGCUAUUCUGCUUU